Molecule: transfer RNA, 65 nt
Filed under: Paraona staudingeri
Lineage: Eukaryota; Metazoa; Arthropoda; Insecta; Lepidoptera; Erebidae
Description: tRNA-Glu
Source: RNAcentral
AUUUAUAUAGUUUAAAUAAAACCUUACAUUUUCAUUGUAAUAAUAAAAAAAUUUUUUUAUAAAUA